ACGCUCGACACCUACGUGAGGCAGCAGUGAGGAAUAUUGGUCAAUGGGCGCUAGCCUGAACCAGCCAAGUAGCGUGAAGGAUGAAGGCUCUAUGGGUCGUAAACUUCUUUUAUAUAAGAAUAAAGUGCAGUAUGUAUACUGUUUUGUAUGUAUUAUAUGAAUAAGGAUCGGCUAACUCCGUGCCUAGCAGCCGACGGUAAUCUGAGCGGGCUGGCAAGGC
Molecule: ribosomal RNA, 220 nt
Filed under: uncultured bacterium
Lineage: Bacteria
Description: partial 16S ribosomal RNA
Rfam family: Bacterial small subunit ribosomal RNA
Source: RNAcentral